This 346-nucleotide ribosomal RNA is filed under the name Aurantiochytrium limacinum. RNAcentral describes it as "partial Bacterial large subunit ribosomal RNA". It matches the Rfam family "Bacterial large subunit ribosomal RNA", at positions 1511 to 1842 of the family's 2925-position model. Lineage: Eukaryota; Bigyra; Thraustochytrida; Thraustochytriidae. The record is from RNAcentral.
UUCAAGGUUGUAGGGUGUGCCGUAGGUAAAUCCGCGGUGCGUGUGCCUGAGAGCUGACGAGUAGCCCGUUUGGGUGAAUUCGGUGAUCCUAUGCUGCCUAGAAAAGCAUCGGCGCGAGGUUCAAACUGCCCGUACCCUAAACCGACACAGGUGGUCAGGUAGAGAAUACCAAGGCGCUUGAGAGAACUCUGCUGAAGGAACUAGGCAAAAUGGUACCGUAACUUCGGGAGAAGGUACGCUGCCGAUGGUGAGUAGUCACGCACUACAAAGCUAUUGGCAGUCGCAGAUACCAGGCCGCUGCAACUGUUUAUUAAAAACACAGCACUCUGCAAACACGAAAGUGGAC